CCCUAGCCUUCAAGGAUUCUCAAGAUUUGGAAGGAAUUGAGAGCCCAAAUCAAUGCUAGAACCAGAAUUGUCAACCAUCUAAGCUCGAACAACAAUAGGCGUGAAGGAGGAAAGCUCUAACACUAGUAAAGCGGGAGGUGUACAAGAUCGAGGUAAAGCACCUCUAUAGGCGACUUGGAGAUAUGGAGCGAGCACGUAUUCAAGCAAUAUUUUUAUCAAGCGCUUCCGCUAGUUUAUGUGCAUGCUUUUGGGUUCACGUUUGUUAUUUUGAUUAAGUCUUGUAGAAGUUUACACUUGAAAACUUAUGUUUUGUUUGGGUAGUUUAAAGUUAGUAAGGUCGUAGGUGAACAUUGUCUUUUAUGUCAA
This is a long non-coding RNA of Helianthus annuus (common sunflower), 366 nucleotides long. RefSeq lists it as uncharacterized. The record is from RefSeq and is a predicted model, not a curated record. Lineage: Eukaryota; Viridiplantae; Streptophyta; Magnoliopsida; Asterales; Asteraceae. The transcript has 3 exons.